Molecule: ribosomal RNA, 253 nt
Filed under: uncultured bacterium
Lineage: Bacteria
Description: partial 16S ribosomal RNA
Rfam family: Bacterial small subunit ribosomal RNA
Source: RNAcentral
UACAGAGGUCUCAAGCGUUGUUCGGAUUCAUUGGGCGUAAAGGGUGCGUAGGUGGCGCCGUAAGUCAGGUGUGAAAUCUCGGGGCUUAACCCCGAAACUGCACUUGAUACUGCGGUGCUUGAGUACUGGAGAGGAGAUUGGAAUUUACGGUGUAGCAGUGAAAUGCGUAGAUAUCGUAAGGAAGACCAGUGGCGAAGGCGAAUCUCUGGACAGUUACUGACACUGAGGCACGAAGGCCAGGGGAGCAAACGGG